This is an RNA transcript of Triticum aestivum (bread wheat), 1011 nucleotides long. It is a transcript of the gene named mitotic-spindle organizing protein 1B, with no coding region annotated. The transcript has 4 exons. The record is from RefSeq and is a predicted model, not a curated record. Lineage: Eukaryota; Viridiplantae; Streptophyta; Magnoliopsida; Poales; Poaceae.
UGGUUGCUGCCGUCCUGCUCCCCUCUCCGGCUUCCCCGGUCUGAACUCGCCGCCACCCGCCUCUCGCCUGCCUCCGGGGUCCGUGCCUCGCCGACCACUCGCCGUCGCCGAGUCCCCCUUGUCUCCGUGCCCCCGCCGCGCCAUUCCCCACGCGCUGCUUCACCGCACCUAGCCGCCCAGUCCUGUCUGCGGCGGUCGGCGGUGUGCAGGCGUGCACCCCGCCCUGCACUACAUCAGCAGCCACCAGCUACCGGCCAGCCCUCCCACCGUCCCACGACUAAACGCAAAUUCACAGGUAGAGUCCACCUGUUUUAAAUUCCUAGAUCUGGCUAGCGGAGAGCGGAAGGGGAAGCCGACGGCGACCGCGCCCCCGUGAGAUGGGAAUGGAGGAGUCGGCGGGGGGUGCCGCGAGGCAGGCCAAGGAGUCGCUGGAGCUGGCGUUCCAGAUGUCCCAGAUCCUGGACACCGGCCUCGACCGCCACACCCUCUCGCUGCUCAUGGCGCUCUGCGACCGCGGCGCCAACCCGGAGGCCCUCGCCGCCCUCGUCCGCGAGCUCUCCUCCGCCGCUCCGCCGUCUGCCGCCGCCACCGCACCCGCCUCCAACACCACAGCGGCCCCGGCCACCCCCUCGUUGUUCCCCUCCGGCUUUCGCCAGCUCUAGGCUACUAGGGUACAUGCACGGAUGUUCCAACAACUGCUGGAUACAUCAUAUUCAAGGACAUCAUUCGACUUCACCCUUUACAGGUACCGAAAACUGGACGCAACUGAAGUUCUUGAUUUGAAGUCGGACCAAAUCUGAUACUUGGCUUGCUGGAAGAGACGGAUUAGCUUUGGUCAGGAGGAAGCAAAUCUUGCUCUGCGAUGCACUUGUGAUGUUGUUUCCACCAGAAAAAGUUGUCGCUCAUUGAGUUCCUGUAAAUUGGCAUCUUUCUUUGCUUGACUUGGACACUACUGUACUAAUCAUGAUGGCCACUGCCACUGCCCCUUCAUUCAUAGUCUUCUUAUAUUCC